This is a non-coding RNA of Callorhinus ursinus (northern fur seal), 298 nucleotides long. Lineage: Eukaryota; Metazoa; Chordata; Mammalia; Carnivora; Otariidae. The record is from RefSeq and is a predicted model, not a curated record.
CUAGGCCUGGAAGAGUAGCAUAGCAUGAUUUCUGCUGGAUUCUAUUGGUCAACAUUGUGACAGAGACCACCCAGAUUCAAGGAGAAUGGGUCUGCGUCUUAAUGGACAGAGUGGCAAAGAAUUCGCAGCCAUCUUUUAUCCAUCCGAGAGGCUGAGAAGUCCCAUGAUCUGCCAUCUGCAAGCUGGAGAACAGGAAAGCUGAUGGUGUAGUUCUAAUCCGAACCGGAAGGCCUGAGAACCAGGGAUGCCGACAGUGGUUUUAUUUACUUGAGAGUGAGAGCACAAGCAAGGUGAGAGG